ACCAAUUUAGGCAGCAAAUUGGUUGGGGUUUUAUCACUUGCUCAUCACUACAAAGGAGUGAAAUAUGCCUCCUACUUCAAGACUCAACAAUUACAUAACAACUCCAAAGUUACAUCGUUGGAAUUUCACGCUAAACAAAAAUUGUCAAAUUCAUUGCGACGCCGCUGAUAGGAUUGAUCAAAUUUCACAUGAUUUACAAAGUUUCGAACGAACAAAAAAUGACAAACUGAUGUUAUUCUCUUGACUUUCUAUCUAGAAUUGGUCUGCAGCCCGUCCAAGCAAUAAAAUGUUUGGGCAUGACUAAAAUAUCGUUUUGACAAGCAAAGCAUAACGCCAUUCAAAUUUCACGUGAUCGACAAAAUGAACAUUUGCAUUACGCCCGCCUUAACCUUGAAUUGCUUCACGUUUGUAUCCAAUUGUCGGCCAUGCACAAUGAACAGAAACGUUAAGUCACAUGAAGUCAAUUAGGUCUGAGGGCAAGCGGAGGAGGACAUGUGGGAGAAACGGAGAAUGGGCGAGAGAUAGGAAUGUUUAGUUUGCUCGGUGGACUGAGAGAGGAAGUCAUCAGCUUCCUGGAAUUUCUAAAUUUGUCUGGACAACUCUUGCGAGGGACUUUCAUCAUGCAUCUGAGGGCGUUUGAUUCCAUGUAUGCGUUUGCAUCUGUCACAUAAAUGACACCGAGUGACCUGAUUUAGGUUAAAAAAAAAAAAAAAAAAUCUCAGUAAUGUCGAAGCAGUGAACACAUGCACUGACAUGGAAAAUGGCGUUGAAAGAAUCGGCAUGAUAUUUGAAUCACUUAUAUCAUAGGUUACACUUGCUGUCUGUCCACUCCCAUACCCGUUGUGUCAACGUGUGUCUGCUGCUGCUGAUAAGAUGAAACAGACUUUUUUUUUUUUUUUGCGGUCAGCGGGAUAUGCACUAUCCCUGGGAAAUCGUACAGCAAGUGUGAGUGGAAUUUAUGUGGGAAGUGACUGUCAGGCAGGGGAUUAAAGAACCAAAGAGCAACUGAGGAAUGGGACAAAUACAAUGACAGAAGCUGUAUUUCUGAAAGAUAUGCGCGGCAAACACAUCGGCGGCAUAACGUGGCAAGGGAAAAUAAACAUUUAUCCAUCACUGGCGUAUUACACAAAAGGAUCUCCACCCUUGCCACUGUCCAAAUCUGGCAUGUACGGACGUGUAAAUCCCUGUCGCUCUUUGUCAGAGAUGAUUUAGUGCAGCUUUAGGAGGAAUCACUGCUCGCUGCCUUGGAGAAUCGUACAAUAGGUCCGUGUAUUUCAAAAUAAAUGCUUCUCUUAUCUGCCUCGUAGGCCACAAUGUGCGAGAGGGCGGGUGUGCGUCGGUUCUUGUGUGCGCAUGGCCACACAUGCACCUACCUGGGUGUGUCUGAGAUUGAGCGACCAAGGGAAAGCGCGGGAGGAAAUAAGGAGCUAUUACUGACAGAACUUCAUGUCAAAGGGACACACGCGCACAGGCACACACCCACUAACACGCACAACGCACACGCAAGAGGUUUAUAGCACCGCCCGCCAUAUCCUGACAAAUUACACUAGGUUGACUGUGGAAACCGGAUAAGGUAGAGCAGUGCUCCCAGCAGCCCAGUAAAUCAGCAGGGAGAAUAGUGUUUGGCCUGCGCCACCCUAAAUAUAACUCAUCUGAAAGGCACUGAUAAACACUGGCCACCGGCCACCCGCUGCUGGACGAGCGGCCGUCGAUUGUGACCCACUGAACUUGGACAGCGCAACCUGACAUUUCGCCUUUGUGAGCAUCGAACUGCUCGUGGAUCUCGCGGCGCUUCCCAUUCUCUGCCCCUCACGGCAUUCUGUUCAACCUUUCCUCUGCGCAUUGUGAUAGCUGCCGUGUGUAUUUGUGUUGUGUUGCCACGCAGUCGCGAUGUGGACACAGUGAAUGGGAAGACGGCUGGGAAAUGGCGGUGAACCUUUUGUCAGACAAUCAUCCGUGACAUAUAUACGAUGGAGAUGUUCCAAGGCAUGAGCGACGCACCUGAGAAUUUGAAGUUCCUCUCCUGAAUUUUGCAACUCGUCAGACAGUCUUCUCCA
Long non-coding RNA from Hippocampus comes (tiger tail seahorse), 2057 nucleotides. RefSeq lists it as uncharacterized. The record is from RefSeq and is a predicted model, not a curated record. NCBI's taxonomy places the organism in Eukaryota, Metazoa, Chordata, Actinopteri, Syngnathiformes, Syngnathidae. The transcript is spliced from 3 exons.